UACGAAGGGGGCUAGCGUUGCUCGGAAUCACUGGGCGUAAAGGGUACGUAGGCGGGUUUUUAAGUCAGGGGUGAAAUCCUGGAGCUCAACUCCAGAACUGCCUUUGAUACUGAAGAUCUUGAGUCCGGGAGAGGUGAGUGGAACUGCGAGUGUAGAGGUGAAAUUCGUAGAUAUUCGCAAGAACACCAGUGGCGAAGGCGGCUCACUGGCCCGGUACUGACGCUGAGGCACGAAAGCGUGGGGAGCAAACAGG
This 253-nucleotide ribosomal RNA is filed under the name uncultured bacterium. RNAcentral's name for it is "partial 16S ribosomal RNA". It matches the Rfam family "Bacterial small subunit ribosomal RNA", at positions 524 to 776 of the family's 1533-position model. The record is from RNAcentral.